UGGUUUCCCUGGCCAAUCCACU
RNAcentral lists this microRNA (22 nucleotides) under Arabidopsis lyrata. RNAcentral's name for it is "aly-miR3440-5p". The record is from miRBase by way of RNAcentral. Lineage: Eukaryota; Viridiplantae; Streptophyta; Magnoliopsida; Brassicales; Brassicaceae.